UCAAGAAGCAUCUGCCAGCUAUUUGGAUUGGUUUUCCCGCCUUCUGUUACUAACUUCAGAGAUUUCUUCUCUUCAUCUGCUAUACCUUUGAUGCUCUCUGUUUAGAGAUUUUGGGUUAGCAAAACACACCACAUUACUAAAUGCCCACAGUGCUUCGUUUCACUUAAAACCACAACGCACCAUUUUGAUUAAUUGUCUUUCAUCCUUCAUGCCUUUUCUCUUAUUGUUCUUGUUGGAAACAACUAACAACUAAUAACGUACAGGUUGUUGUUAAGUCUAAUCUGAUUUAAUAUGAUAAAAUCAAGGUAUCCUACUCGUUGUCAUCCUAAUUUUCUUCUCCUAGGUUGAUGGUUUAGUAGUGAUGGGUUUCUUGAUCUUGACUGUCGGAGGAAGUAGUUUGUCUGUGUUGCCUCUGUUUGCUUCUCCCCGCGUUGUUGCACCAGCUUCGUCCGGCGAUACUUUGUAGUGGCUAUGGUAGUUUUUGUUCUUGUGUAUAGAGUGGUUUGGAUUGUUUUGCUGGGUUUUAUUGGGUUAUGGGUUUGGGUUUGAUUUUCUGUGUGGAGUUGAUUUUGAGCCUUUUUACUCUCUUUGUAAUCAGAUGUUGAUGUUUUUAUCCAAUGGGCCUUGUUUAAUACAAUGAAUAGCCUUUAAACAAAAAAACU
RNAcentral lists this unclassified non-coding RNA (662 nucleotides) under Hevea brasiliensis (rubber tree). The record is from RNAcentral. Lineage: Eukaryota; Viridiplantae; Streptophyta; Magnoliopsida; Malpighiales; Euphorbiaceae.